Molecule: non-coding RNA, 1480 nt
Organism: Daphnia pulex (common water flea)
Lineage: Eukaryota; Metazoa; Arthropoda; Branchiopoda; Diplostraca; Daphniidae
Source: Rfam
GUCCCACCCGACCCGUCUUGAAACACGGACCAAGGAGUCUAACAUGUGCGCAAGUCGUCGAGAAAUUAUCAAACUAAACUCGCGAGGCGCAAUGAAAGUGAAGCGGCCCCGAUGAGGGUGCAUCCGCGAGGGGUGAUCCCGUCUCGAACAGAGCGGGCGCAACCCCAGGGCGUCCGAAUGCUCGCGAGAUCUUUCCCCCUUAAAAGGGUUUGGUCGAGUCGGCCGGACGAACCCAGAGCGCACACGUUGGGACCCGAAAGAUGGUGACCUAUGCCUGGCCAGGACGAAGCCAGGGGAAACCCUGGUGGAGGUCCGCAGCGAUUCUGACGUGCAAAUCGAUCGUCGGAGUUGGGUAUAGGGGCGAAAGACUAAUCGAACCAUCUAGUAGCUGGUUCCCCCCGAAGUUUCCCUCAGGAUAGCUGGUGCUCGCAAAGAGAACAAACGGAGUUUCAUCCGGUAAAGCGAAUGAUUAGAGGCCUUGGGGUCGAAACGACCUCAACCUAUUCUCAAACUUUCAAUGGGUGAGAAGCCCGGCCUUUUUCCUUGAUUGAGGCCGCGGCAAUUGAUUUGAAUCUGAGCGCCCAGUGGNCCAUUUUUGGUAAGCAGAACUGGCGCUGUGGGAUGAACCAAACGCCCGGUUAAGGCGCCUAAACGACGCACAUUUCGGAUCCCACGAAAAGGAGUUGGUUGCUAAAGACAGCAGGACGGUGGCCAUGGAGGUCGGAAUCCGCUCAGGAGUGUGUAACAACUCACCUGCCGAAGCAACUAGCCCUUAAAAUGGGAGGCGCUAUAGCGUCGUGCCUAUACCGGGCCGUCGGUCGGCAGAGCGAAUAACGUCCGUGUCAGCUCGAAGAGAGCGACGGCGCUGAGGCCCCGACGAGUAGGGGGGUCGCGACGGUGAGCGUAGAAGGGUUGUGGGCGUGAGCCUGCCCGGAGCCGCCGUCGGUGCAGAUCUUGGUGGUAGUAGCAAAUACUCCAGAGGGAUCCUGGAGGACUGACGCGGAGAAGGGUUUCAUGUGAACAGUGGUUGGACAUGAGUCAGUCGAUCCUAAGCCGCAGGCGAAAGCCGACCUAGUGACGGGCGUGAUGUGUUGCAUCUAUCGUAUGAGUAACGGGCGUGGUUGUGGUUGAGUCGUGUGUGGGUGAUUCUUCUGUUGUGUGCGCGAAGAGAAAAUGUAAAGUUGCGGGGUCAAAGAAAACACAUGAAUAAGAAAGCUUGUGAGAAUGAUAGAAGGUUAAAGAAGUGUCUUUUUCUUUUUUGAUUUCUCUUAGCCGGUAUUUGAUUGUUUUUCUCCCGUCUCUUUUCUUUUCCUAGUACCGUUCAUCGCGUUAUGGCAUCGCAUGCUUCUUUCGCAGCGCCUUCGAAAAUAUGAAACCAUGUAUCGUAUAACGUGAGACGCCACCCAGGUUAAGGCGAAAGGGAAUCCGGUCCUGAUUCCGGAACCAGGCUGCGGCUACGUCCGCGAUAAAACGACUUAAC